CUCAAUGAAAAUUCAAUAGCCGCAAUUUUGUGCUAAGGUAGCAUAAUCAUUUGUCUUUUAAUUAAAGUCUAGAAUGAAAGAUUUAAUAUUUUAAUUUCUUUAUCAAAUAUAACAAUUUAAAUUAUUUCAAAUAUAAAAAAAUAUUUAUAUUAAAAAAAGACGACAAGACCCUAUUGAACUUAACUAAAGUUAAACUGGGGCAGUUAAUUAAAUACUAUUUUAAUUCAAAUUUUAAAAACAACCUAAAAUAUUUAACACAUCAAGUUACCAUAGGGAUAACAGCGUAAUAAUUUUCUUAAGUUCUUAUUUCAAAAAUUGUUUGCGACCUCGAUGUUGAAUUAAUAAUCUAUAUAAUGCAAUAAUUAAUAAGAAAGUC
This 376-nucleotide ribosomal RNA is filed under the name Wadotes hybridus. Its description in RNAcentral is "partial 16S ribosomal RNA". Lineage: Eukaryota; Metazoa; Arthropoda; Arachnida; Araneae; Agelenidae. The record is from RNAcentral.